GGGUAAAACCAGGUGGAGGACCGAACCAGGGUCUGUUGCAAUAGACUUGGAUGACGUGUGGCUAGGGGUGAAAUUCCAAUCGAACUCGGAAAUAGCUGGUUCUCCCCGAAAUAGCUUUAGGGCUAGCGUUGUAAUGAAAAUUUUAUGGAGGUAGAGCACUGAAUGUGUGAUGGUCUCACCUCGAGAUACUGAUCUCAAUUAAACUUCGAAUGCCAUAAAAUAUGUACAGCAGUCAGACUGCGAGUGAUAAGGCCCGUAGUCAAAAGGGAAACAGCCCAGACCGCCAGUUAAGGUCCCGAAAUCUAUGCUAAGUGGGAAAGGAAGUGGAGUCGUAGAGACAACUAGGAGGUUGGCUUAGAAGCAGCCAUCCUUUAAAGAGUGCGUAAUAGCUCACUAGUCGAAUGAUUCUGCGCCGAAAAUGUAUCGGGGCUAAAGCAUAUUACCGAAGCUGCGGAUAUAAAAUUUUUAUUUUAUGUGGUAGGGGAGCGUAGUUAAUGCGCUGAAGCAAGACCGAGAGGACUUGUGGAGUGUUAAGUAGUGAGAAUGCCGGUGUGAGUAACGAAAAGAUGGGUGAGAAUCCCAUCCGUCGAAAGCCUAAGGUUUCCAGAGGAAGGUUCGUCCGCUCUGGGUUAGUCGGGUCCUAAGGUCAGGCUGAAAAGCGUAGCCGAUGGACAUCAGGUUGAUAUUCCUGGACCACUUAUAUGACUGAUGGAAUGACGAAGAAGGCUAGAAUAGGCAAAUUAGUGGAUUUUUGUAGAAGGGUGUAGGUGGAAGAUCUAUGCAAAUCAGGAUCUUUAAUUAAACACUAAAACCCAAAAUAAUUUAUUUGAUGCCAAACUUCCAAGAAAAGUUUCUAAGAUUAUUAUAUAAGUGCCCGUACCGUAAACCGACACAGGUAGGCGAGGGGAAGAAAUCCAAAGACGCGCGAGAAAACUCUUGUUAAGGAACUCUGCAAAAUGACCCCGUAACUUCGGAAUAAGGGGGGCUCAUCUUGAAUGAGCCGCAGAUAAUAGGCCCAAGCGACUGUUUAUCAAAAACACAGGUCUCUGCUAAACCGCAAGGUGAAGUAUAGGGGCUGACGCCUGCCCAGUGCUGGAAGGUUAAGAGGAGGAGUUAGGAGCAAUCCGAAGCUUUGAAUUGAAGCCCCAGUAAACGGCGGCCGUAACUAUAACGGUCCUAAGGUAGCGAAAUUCCUUGUCGGGUAAGUUCCGACCCGCACGAAAGGCGUAACGAUUUGGGCGCUGUCUCAACUCGAGACUCGGUGAAAUCAUAUUAUUGGUGAAGAUGCCAAUUACCCGCGACUAGACGGGAAGACCCCAUGGAGCUUCACUGCAACUUGAUAUUGAUAUUGGGUAUUGGAUGUACAGGAUAGGUGGGAGACUAAGAAGCAAGGACGCUAGUUUUUGCAGAGUCGCCCUUUGGAUACCACCCUUCUAAUAUUUAGUGUCUAACUAGAGGCCAUAAUCUGGUCAUAGGACAGUGUCAGGUGGGCAGUUUGACUGGGGCGGUCGCCUCCUAAAGAGUAACGGAGGCGCCCAAAGGUUCCCUCAGAAUGUAUGGAAAUCAUUCGAAGAGUGUAAAGGCAGAAGGGAGCUUGACUGCAAGAUGGACAUAUCGAGCAGGAACGAAAGUUGGGCUUAGUGAACCGGCUGUGCUGAAUGGAAAGGCAGUCGAUCAACGGAUAAAAGCUACCCUGGGGAUAACAGGCUGAUCUCCCCCAAGAGUUCACAUCGACGGGGAGGUUUGGCACCUCGAUGUCGGCUCGUCGCAUCCUGGGGCUGGAGUAGGUCCCAAGGGUUGGGCUGUUCGCCCAUUAAAGCGGUACGCGAGCUGGGUUCAGAACGUCGCGAGACAGUUCGGUCCCUAUCUGUCGUGGGCGUAGGAAAUUUGAGAGGAGCUGCUCUUAGUACGAGAGGACCAGAGUGGACGCACCGCUGGCGAACCAGUUAGUCUACCAGGGCUACAGCUGGGUAACUAAGUGCGGAAGGGAUAAACGCUGAAAGCAUCUAAGCAUGAAGCCCCCCUCAAGAUGAGAUUUCCCAUUAGCAAUAAGUAAGACCCCUUAGAGAUGAUGAGGUAGAUAGGUCAGGAGUGU
This 2095-nucleotide ribosomal RNA is filed under the name activated sludge metagenome. RNAcentral's name for it is "bacterial LSU rRNA". It matches the Rfam family "Bacterial large subunit ribosomal RNA", at positions 754 to 2870 of the family's 2925-position model. The record is from RNAcentral.